RNAcentral lists this ribosomal RNA (429 nucleotides) under bacterium. RNAcentral describes it as "partial 16S ribosomal RNA". It matches the Rfam family "Bacterial small subunit ribosomal RNA", at positions 355 to 776 of the family's 1533-position model. The record is from RNAcentral.
UAGGGAAUCUUCGGCAAUGGGGGCAACCCUGACCGAGCAACGCCGCGCGAGUGAAGAAGGUUUUCGGAUCGUAAAGCUCUGUUGUAAGAGAAGAACGUGUGUGAGAGUGGAAAGUUCACACAGUGACGGUAACUUACCAGAAAGGGACGGCUAACUACGUGCCAGCAGCCGCGGUAAUACGUAGGUCCCGAGCGUUGUCCGGAUUUAUUGGGCGUAAAUCGAGCGCAGGCGGUUUAAUAAGUCUGAAGUUAAAGGCAGUGGCUUAACCGUUGGUCGCUUUGGAAACUGUUAAACUUGAGUGCAGAAGGGGAGGGUGAAGUUCCAUGUGUAGCGGUGAGAUGCGUAGAUAUAUGGAGGAACACCGGUGGCGAAAGCGGCUCUCUGGUCGGUAACUGACGCUGAGGCUCGAAAGCGUGGGGAGCAAACAGG